GGUAAAGGUCUAAUGCCAUUACUAAGAUUUAUUCUAGGAAAAGCAUACUUCAACAAGAAAUUCUCUAAUUUCAAAUAAGCAAAGUUGUCUCCUUUGAUAAUUGAAAGUGCUGGAUUAGAGGGGAGGGGUUCUAAAAUCUAAAUUAUCCUAUUUACUUCAAACUUGUAAUUAUCCCAAGAGAAAUUUCGAAAUUAAGGCUAUUGUAUAGACUACAUAGAAAGAAAAAAAUGCUCCAUCACAAUGUAUGAACUAAAAGCCACUUAAGCAGAUUUCUGGCUAGGCCACGAAGUUAAAGUUAACUGCAUAUUAUCAGCCACAUAGAAUACACACAUAUGGCGAGCAAAAGUGCAUAUUAAUGGAGUAUAUAGACAUGGGAAGAGUACCUAAAAAAAGCGGCACGUCGCGCGUGAGAAGGUCGAGAAGAAGGGAUUUCCGUUGGGAGGCAGUGGAGGCGGAUGAUUGCUGAGCGCGUGGGAAAUAGAGGUUAUCAAGUCCUGAAAGCCUGUCUGAUAUUUUCUCCAUGGAUUGGUUACUCAAACUUCUGGCCAUAGACGUCGAGCCCUCCACUUUCACAUUUACAGAGCCCUAGAUUUUGAUUCCCUUUUGCGACCAG
Molecule: long non-coding RNA, 613 nt
Filed under: Nicotiana tabacum (common tobacco)
Lineage: Eukaryota; Viridiplantae; Streptophyta; Magnoliopsida; Solanales; Solanaceae
Description: long non-coding RNA (NTAB_LNC006494)
Source: RNAcentral